Phymastichus coffea is the source of this 2469-nucleotide long non-coding RNA. RefSeq lists it as uncharacterized. Lineage: Eukaryota; Metazoa; Arthropoda; Insecta; Hymenoptera; Eulophidae. The transcript is spliced from 3 exons. The record is from RefSeq and is a predicted model, not a curated record.
UAAAAUUUGAAUUGUCAGUGCGGUACGUUAUGGACCGCUUUAAGCAUUCAUACUUUGGAUCAAGAAGUACUCAAGGUGGAGUUGACCAACUUACCCGGCCAAUCAUGCCCUGCGGUAGCUCUCGACUCAAUAAUUUCACCAUCCAUGGUGAUGACAAAGUCGCGCGAAAGACCAUAAAAGAAUUUACGACUCUAAAGUAAAUACCACGAAAACCAUUCGUAAAUUCCAACCCCAAUAGUUAUCAAGAUGGCUAAAGUCGCCUCAGACUUUCGUUUUUCUCGAGAUUUUUUCUCGCGGCUUACUCAAGCUAUUUUACUGAAUAUUGAACGACCAACGCAGCCAGUAAGUGUAAACUAUGGGUUCGGUCUGAGACACCGUCGUAAUCGGAUGUUUACUAAUCGUUCGGGUUUGCGAGUAUUUUCCUCACUGGCAGAGGCGCUGUGGCUUGUGUACGUGUAGAAUAUCUUGCGUCUAUAAGUGUAGUUCUUAAGCUUGCAAUAGUCAAAUCUCGAGUGUUCAGGGGAUGCUUCUAGCACCAAAGACAUUCGCGUUAAAAAAAUGCUUAACAACCAAACCCAACAACAGUAAUCUCCAACCCGAUCUUCGUAUGCUCAUAAAGUCCAGCAAAUACAAGUGCUAACUACGGGACAGGAUAUCAUUAUAUUGACGCGGUGGAAGGCAUCGCCGUUCAAGAAUUAUGCCUUGGCUGUUGGAAAAUUGACAGAACCCGCUAACAUUCAUUUCAUGGUAGAAUUUGAGUUCACUUGAGCAGUAAAGAAACCACUGAGAAAUUAACGAAGAAGCACAUACUCUUUAGACAUUCGACCGUUAAUCUAAACUCGUUAAAUUAUUUCAAAUAAAUACUAUUCAAAUUGUAGGUUUCAGUAAUCAAAACAAAUUUCAAACGAACGAAACAUUUGUGUGCAUACUUGUUUGUAUUCUACAGCUACACGCAAAAGUGUCCAAUCAAUGAUAAUUUUAGGAUUUUGUAACAUAUUACCGAGGCAAAGCCGAUAUUCAAAUGUACGGUCGUAAAGUAUUCGUGCAUUAUUUAUGCGCGACAAGCACGAUUUUCGCCUACUUUUUGCCAUAAAAAGUCGUGCCGCUUGGCUUGGUUCCGUUUCAAUCAACAGGUGGGCUUGUACGACUUGACCAGGAGAAGAAACUUGUAGGCUUUCCGAUAUUAUACAAAACUAGUUGCAUUCACUAGGUGGCCACCAAUUUUUUUUUCGCAACAAUCAAAUAGGACAGUUUGAAAGCGGCACUCGAAGCUACUGCUCACCACUCCUAAUAGCAUUACCUCUUCAUUACUUACAAUUAUUCUGUAUCUUUCAAUACCAAUUGAAAGAGAGGCAAUUGUUAAAAUCUAUUAGUGCCAAUUGUCGUAAAACGUCGUGCUAUAAUUGACGAGUGUAUUGUUAUAGUUUUUACAAAUGGAUCUUGUAAGAAUCCGCUCAACGAUUUCUUACCGGUGCUUAUUAUUAUUGGAUAUUAAUUACUUCAUAGAGUAUGCCGUGCAAUGUGUGAACAAAUAAAUUCAAUGAUGCGGUUUUUGUCGAUGAGCCAAAUUGAAAAAAAGAGCAAGAUGCCAACUAUUUACUAAAUAGCCGCUUAGCAUUAUGUAUUUAGAAGGCACGCCCCGAAAGGUGAAAGAGCCUUGAAACCCAAGCCCAAGCGGUAGCAAGUUCAGUUGUCAUCAUCGUCAUGCCGUUCAAUUUGCAUAGGAACAAGAUCAUCGUCGGUUAAUAAUUUCAAGAGCACUAGACAUUUGAAAAGAGAGAAUAGUUUAUAGGAGAAUAGAAAAGAUUCACCGAGCGAGAAGAGUAACAAGCUAGUAGUUCUGACCACCAAUGACAGAUUUUCAAAUUAUCGCAUGAGUAUAAAGUCAAACAUACAUGCGCCAACUCUUUCAGAUAUCAUAAUUAGUAUCAUAAUCUAGUAUCAUAAUUAUUAUAGUAAUUAGUACAUCAAUAACUGCGCGAUCAGAAAAUCUCGAAGCAUGCAGAGCAAACUAUACGACCAACUUGACGAACCAAUAAAUUUACCAGCAUUCAAAAUGAAAUACAAUUAGCCGUAUGGUCAUAGCCAACGAGGCAAUGUUAAAGAAAAGACGAUAAAUUAUGCUAAAAAAGAGGCUAUGCUCGUGACGAUCCCAGAACCCGCGCCAUAUCAUUACUACAGGGUAUUCGGAGAAUUCUCCGAGAGAAUUGAAAUCGAGAAGUACAGAAAUCACGUUGCAUCUGUCGAAGUGGCAGAACUCAAGCAGCUUCAUCCUGAAGGUCCGAUAUAAUUCCUCAAAUAAAAUAUUUUUGUGUUUUAACAAGACCUGAGGACCACUGUGUAAAGUAAGACUGUCAAAUAAAAAUCUCGUAUGGCAUUUACGCCCGAGCGAAACGGCAAAGAAUCUACUUUCCCGCACUUGCAUUGCAAUGUACUAAUAUGUAAUUACUACUUUGUAAAUGAAGUUUG